AGUGAACGCUGGCGGUAGGCCUAACACAUGCAAGUCGAACGGCAGCACAGUAAGAGCUUGCUCUUACGGGUGGCGAGUGGCGGACGGGUGAGGCAUACAUCGGAAUCUACUUUUUCGUGGGGGAUAACGUAGGGAAACUUACGCUAAUACCGCAUACGACCUACGGGUGAAAGCAGGGGAUCUUCGGACCUUGCGCGAUUGAAUGAGCCGAUGUCGAAUUAGCUAGUUGGCGGGGUAAAGGCCCACCACGGCGACGAUCCGUAGCUGGUCUGAGAGGAUGAUCAGCCACACUGGAACUGAGACACGGUCCAGACUCCUACGGGAGGCAGCAGUGGGGAAUAUUGGACAAUGGGCGCAAGCCUGAUCCAGCCAUACCGCGUGGGUGAAGAAGGCCUUCGGGUUGUAAAGCCCUUUUGUUGGGAAAGAAAAGCAGCAGGUUAAUACCCCGCUGUUCUGACGGUACCCAAAGAAUAAGCACCGGCUAACUUCGUG
Molecule: ribosomal RNA, 492 nt
Filed under: uncultured bacterium
Lineage: Bacteria
Description: partial 16S ribosomal RNA
Rfam family: Bacterial small subunit ribosomal RNA
Source: RNAcentral